CUCUCUUCCUUCACCACGGACCUGUGCCCAGACGUCCGCUGCUCGUUCAGCGUCGAUAUCUGCGGCAGCUCGAUACCCCCCAUGGAAUCACCAAACCAUUGUGGUGUCCCUCCUAUCGACAGGUCCAAGAUAGAUCGAUGCCUGCUGGGCCAUGUUCGCCGUCAAAAGCUGAGCGAGGUUCCGGCAGGACUUUCGAAGAGAUUACAUUCCACUCCCCUUUUCCAAGAUCGUCGAUCGAUGAGGUUGGGGCAAACCGUAAUUCCGCUACAUCU
RNAcentral lists this small RNA (272 nucleotides) under Gaeumannomyces tritici R3-111a-1. RNAcentral's name for it is "Gaeumannomyces graminis var. tritici R3-111a-1 A. fumigatus sRNA Afu_309". It matches the Rfam family "A. fumigatus sRNA Afu_309". The record is from Rfam by way of RNAcentral. Lineage: Eukaryota; Fungi; Ascomycota; Sordariomycetes; Magnaporthales; Magnaporthaceae.